GACGAACGCUGGCGGCGUGCCUAAUACAUGCAAGUAGAACGCACAGUUUAUACCGUAGCUUGCUACACCAUAGACUGUGAGUUGCGAACGGGUGAGUAACGCGUAGGUAACCUGCCUGGUAGCGGGGGAUAACUAUUGGAAACGAUAGCUAAUACCGCAUAAUAUUAAUUAUUGCAUGAUAAUUAAUUGAAAGGUGCAAUUGCACCACUACCAGAUGGACCUGCGUUGUAUUAGCUAGUAGGUGAGGUAACGGCUCACCUAGGCGACGAUACAUAGCCGACCUGAGAGGGUGAGCGGCCACACUGGGACUGAGACACGGCCCAGACUCCUACGGGAGGCAGCAGUAGGGAAUCUUCGGCAAUGGACGAAAGUCUGACCGAGCAACGCCGCGUGAGUGAAGAAGGUUUUCGGAUCGUAAAGCUCUGUUGUAAGAGAAGAACGGGUGUGAGAGUGGAAAGGUCACACUGUGACGGUAUCUUACCAGAAAGGGACGGCUAACUACGUGC
RNAcentral lists this ribosomal RNA (506 nucleotides) under uncultured bacterium. RNAcentral's name for it is "partial 16S ribosomal RNA". It matches the Rfam family "Bacterial small subunit ribosomal RNA", at positions 28 to 508 of the family's 1533-position model. The record is from RNAcentral.